GCUUUAACUGACGCUGAGGCUCGAAAGCGUGGGGAGCAAACAGGAUUAGAUACCCUGGUAGUCCACGCCGUAAACGAUGAUUACUAGGUGUGGGGGGACUGACCCCUUCCGUGCCGCAGUUAACACAAUAAGUAAUCCACCUGGGGAGUACGACCGCAAGGUUGAAACUCAAAGGAAUUGACGGGGGCCCGCACAAGCAGUGGAGUAUGUGGUUUAAUUCGAAGCAACGCGAAGAACCUUACCAGGUCUUGACAUCGUGAGCAUAGCUUAGAGAUAAGUGAAAUCCCUUCGGGGACUCAUAGACAGGUGGUGCAUGGUUGUCGUCAGCUCGUGUCGUGAGAUGUUGGGUUAAGUCCCGCAACGAGCGCAACCCUUACUGUUAGUUGCUACGCAAGAGCACUCUAGCAGGACUGCCGUUGACAAAACGGAGGAAGGUGGGGAUGACGUCAAAUCAUCAUGCCCCUUAUGACCUGGGCUACACACGUACUACAAUGGCUGUAAACAGAGGGAAGCAAAGCAGUGAUGCAGAGCAAAACCCUAAAAGCAGUCUUAGUUCGGAUUGUAGGCUGCAACCCGCCUACAUGAAGUCGGAAUUGCUAGU
RNAcentral lists this ribosomal RNA (601 nucleotides) under uncultured bacterium. RNAcentral's name for it is "bacterial SSU rRNA". It matches the Rfam family "Bacterial small subunit ribosomal RNA", at positions 733 to 1339 of the family's 1533-position model. The record is from RNAcentral.